This is a small nuclear RNA of Rhinolophus ferrumequinum (greater horseshoe bat), 104 nucleotides long. Lineage: Eukaryota; Metazoa; Chordata; Mammalia; Chiroptera; Rhinolophidae. The record is from Ensembl.
GUGCUCAUUUCGGCAGCACAGAUACUAAAAUCGGAACGAUACACAGAUUAGCAUGGCCCCUGUGCAAUGAUAAUAUCCAGGUUCGUGAAGCAUUCCAUAUUUAA